This 391-nucleotide long non-coding RNA is filed under the name Heterocephalus glaber (naked mole-rat). Its description in RNAcentral is "lncRNA (ENSHGLG00000033580.1)". Lineage: Eukaryota; Metazoa; Chordata; Mammalia; Rodentia; Bathyergidae. The record is from RNAcentral.
CCUCGUCUCCUGCAGCAGUUGAGCGCCACCAGUCUGCUACUUAGAGAUUCCCCUCUAAAGUUUUAAGCUUUUUUUUUUCCAUCAGCAAACAUUUGUUGCCCCAGGCACUGGUGAAGACAUUGGGGAUAUAAAGAAGAGUGUGACAAGAAAAGUUAACUGGAGAGCCCGGUGUGGUGAUGCACCGCUGUAAUCCCAGCCCUCGGGAGACUGAAGCAGGAGGAUUGCCAAAAGUUCAAGGAAGCCACAUCUCUACCCUGCUCAGUCCUCUUCUCCAAGACCUGCACCAAUUCGUGAAUCUUGAGUAAAAGCCAAUUAGAUCUGAAACUAAAUUUGUCCUGAUUUUAUUUUUUGAAAAUAAAAAACUCAAAAGACAAAUAAGAAGUGCAAAAAA